Molecule: ribosomal RNA, 318 nt
Filed under: uncultured eukaryote
Lineage: Eukaryota
Description: partial 18S ribosomal RNA
Rfam family: Eukaryotic small subunit ribosomal RNA
Source: RNAcentral
CCCUUAGAUGUCCUGGGCCGCACGCGUGCUACACUGACGCAUACAGCGAGCACUUUCCAGUUCCGAGAGGCUACUGGUAAUCAUCAAUAUGCGUCGUGAUGGGGAUAGAUCUUUGGAAUUCUGGAUCUUGAACGAGGAAUGCCUAGUAAUCGCAGGUCAUUAGCCUGCGAUGAUUAAGUCCCUGCCCUUUGUACACACCGCCCGUCGCUACUACCGAUUUCGAGUGGUCAUGUGAAUCUUUCGGACUGUGGGCGCCCUUGAGGUGUUCGCGGAAAGUCAGGUAAAUCUUAUCACUUAGAGGAAGUAAAAGUCGUAACA